Molecule: long non-coding RNA, 1330 nt
Filed under: Balaenoptera musculus (blue whale)
Lineage: Eukaryota; Metazoa; Chordata; Mammalia; Artiodactyla; Balaenopteridae
Description: lncRNA (ENSBMSG00010012971.1)
Source: RNAcentral
GUCACGGCUGUAGAUCUCACCCUGACGCGAGAAUUGGCAAGUCCUGGCCUGGCUUACCUGGUACCCUGUGGUCCGGUAGACUGAAUAAUGGCCCGCCAAGAUGUCCACGUCCUAACCUUCAGAACCUGUAUGUUAUCUUACGUGACAAGAGGGACUUUGCAGAUUUGAUUCGGUUAAGGAGCCGGAGAUUGAAAGAUUGUCCUGGAUUAUUCGGGUGGAUGGACCCUGUGUAAUUAUGAUGAUAAGAAGGAGGCAGGAGUGUCAGUGUGAGAUGUGAUGACCAGAGCAGAGGUGAGAAAGAGAGAAGAAAAAAGAUUUGAAGAUGGAGGAAGGAACGAAGAUCCAAGGUAUAAAGGUAACCUCUAGAAGCUGGAAAGGAAGGAAAUAGAUUUUCCCAUAGAGCCUCCAAAGGAAUGCAACUGCACCAGCACCUUGAGUUCAUCUAACCUCCAAAACGCAUGCAUUCCGAUAUUUUCCUGGCCCAUCACAAUAGUAACUGGGAGAGAGUCCGCAUCCUGAAGGAGCUCAGAGGACACGAAAGCAGAAGCCUGAGAAGCAAGAGCCUACACAGAAGAAAGGAAGAUCUGAGAAACAUUUGAAAUUAAAAUAGUGUCCUUCAAUCAACUAUGAGUGAGGCCGUACCAAUUCUAUUGACCAUGAAUAUGUGAAGAUCAAUUUGACAAAGCCAUUGACAAAUGUGCAGAAGUGAAGGCUUAUAGCAGAAAGCACAGUGGAGUUAUUCAUCACCAUCACCAUGGGGACCAAAAUAUUGGGGUUCUGUUUUACCUUGCUGAUUCAUUGCUGUGGAUUCUUUUAUAUUUUUAUUUUUCCCAAUAAAUCUUUUAUUUUUCUAAUUUUAUUUUAUUCUUUAUAGUUUGUUAGUUAUCUCUCUUUUUGGCUUGUUGCCCCCACCCUUUUUUUUUUUCUUUUUUCUGCUGUGGUUCUAUUUUACCUUAUUGCAGUUGUUUCAAUUAUAGUUUUAUUUUUCCUAAUAUAUUUUUUAUCUUUCUGAUUUUAUUUUGUUUUUUACUCUUUGGUAUUAUACUACUCUUUUUUCUGUCUUUCUUCCUUUUUUUACCACUCCACGAAGCUUGCGGGAUCUUGGUUCCCAGGCUGGAGGUCAGGCCCGAGUUCCUAUGGUGGGAGCUCCGAGUCCAAACUGCUGGACUAACAGAGAACCUCAGACCUCAGGGAAUAUCAGUCGGAGUGAGGCCUCCCAGAGGUCCUCAUCUCAGCACCAAGACCCAGCUCUAUCUAACUGCCUGAAAACUCCAGUGCUGGACAUCUCAAGCCAAACAACCAGUAAGACAGGAAUAGAGCACCACCCAUC